UACGGGGGGGGCAAGCGUUGUUCGGAAUUACUGGGCGUAAAGGGCGCGUAGGCGGUCAGACCAAGUCGAGUGUGAAAUUCCAGGGCUUAACUCUGGCGCGCUCGCUCGAUACUGGUCGGCUAGAGUGUGGAAGAGGAUGCUGGAAUUCCCGGUGUAGCGGUGAAAUGCGUAGAUAUCGCUUGGAACGCCAAUGGUGAAAACAGGUAGCUGGGGGUGUGCUGACACUGAGACACGAAAGCCAGGGGAGCAAACGGG
Molecule: ribosomal RNA, 255 nt
Filed under: uncultured bacterium
Lineage: Bacteria
Description: partial 16S ribosomal RNA
Rfam family: Bacterial small subunit ribosomal RNA
Source: RNAcentral